This 429-nucleotide long non-coding RNA is filed under the name Malurus cyaneus samueli. Its description in RNAcentral is "lncRNA (ENSMCSG00000009599.1)". The record is from RNAcentral. Lineage: Eukaryota; Metazoa; Chordata; Aves; Passeriformes; Maluridae.
UCCACCCUCACAGGCACAUGAGACUGCAGAGCUUCAAAAUAAGAAGUAAAUCAGCUGGACAGUUGCCUCCUGCCUUCCUAAACAGGCAAACAUAUUAGAAACAGAAAAAGGGACCUACCUACCUCAUUCCUGGAGAAGGUGGGUUUGCUGGUGUGAAUGCCUGCCUCGUUUGCCUCACCAAAAUGAGUUAGAGCAUGCAGGAGAGAAGGAAGACGUUUGCAAGUAGAACCUACCAUGCUGUGGUGCAAGCAAGAGCCAACCAACACCAUCUGCUGCCAGUAGAAAAUCUCCAUGCCAGUCCUUACCCUUGGCACAAGGUAAAGUUGCAAUUGAGCCUGUGAGGUGGAAUCAACAGGAAAAAUCCAAUUCAUGCUCAAAGAUGGACACCUUUUAGCCAGCCAGUGAAUCCAACUGCUGCUGCAUGUCUGG